UCAUAUUUGCAGUUGAGGUACGAGCUCAUGUCUGCCACUUGCUACUAUGCCUCCCCAUCAAGAUGGACUCUACCUUUUGGAACUGUAACAAAUCUUGGUCAGAUGAACGCACAUACAGGAGGAAGCAAGACACCGAUAAGAGGAACAAGCUGCAAAGGAGGGACAGGCUGAGCAGGUAAGCACCUCCCCAGAGGGCAGCAAGACACACCACCUGGCUCCGCAGCUGCCCUGGACUCCGAGAUUUGCAGAGAAGCAUGCCCCCCAGCACUGCAGUGGCAGCUAAGCAGAGCCAUGCUGACUCAGAGGAAAACAGGCUCAUUCUCCGCUGGCCUUCACUUGCUCUGGACCAGUGAGUAGUGAAAUCAAAGACGCUUGGAAGUCGGAUUCUAAGAAGAAAGCAUCUCCGAUUUGGCCUGCUUCUGGAGGAUUACUGCCAACUGAGACAGUGAGGAAGAAAAAGAGAGAGGUGUUCCAACAGCAAAGAGCCUGCCACACAAGCAUGAGGACCUGAGUCCAGAUCUCCAGAACUGACCUAAAACCUUCAACACGAUGACAUGUGUUUGUAAUUUCUGCACCGGGUGGGCAGAGAUAGGUACAUCCCUGUAUCUCACUGGUCCAUCAGCCCAGCCAAAUUAAUAAGCUCUAGCUUCAGUGAGAAACAUUUCCAUGCAAAAUAAUGUAGAGAAUGAUUGAAGAAGACCUGGACAUUGAUCUCUGACCUCCAUAUACAUGUACACAUAGAUGCUUAUGCACCCUUAUAUGUGCAUGCAUACACAAACACACACAGACACGCACACAAGACACAUAUACACACAUACACUAUACCCACCACUACCCACAAAAAUCUAAGUAAAAUUACAGAUGUGAUAGGUAUUUUUAUAUCAUUUUUAACUUUUUGCCCUAAACUGUGAUACAUAUAAAAACUUGUCCAAAAUAUAAGUGGAUAAUUAAGCAUCCAUGUGCUCACUCUCCCUCCCUCCUCUCUCUCUCCAAAACUAUUUUUGUGAAAUCCAAUUUGAGUGUCUAAAUAAAUGGCCCAGUAGUUAAGAGCAUUUGCUGCUCUUGUAGAUCCAAGUUCAAUCCCCAACACCGACACUGGGCAGUUCACAACCACCUGUAACUCCAGCUCCAA
Long non-coding RNA from Mastomys coucha (southern multimammate mouse), 1132 nucleotides. RefSeq lists it as uncharacterized. The record is from RefSeq and is a predicted model, not a curated record. Lineage: Eukaryota; Metazoa; Chordata; Mammalia; Rodentia; Muridae. The transcript has 4 exons.